CGCGUGCGUGGAGACACGAAGGGACGACUCACAUACAGGGCAAGACAGUGCGGGGUAGUGGGGAAUUUCAUAGAGCUACUCAGAACAGCGCAAAAUGUAAAACUUAAGAAUUGUUUCUUUCUGGAAUUUUCCACGUAAUAUCUUCAGACCGUGGUUGACUAUGGUAACUGAAACCUCAGCGAAACACAGGUCUUUUUGGCACAAUUCUUGGACCAGGAACUGGCUUUGCCUCUCUUAGUCUCUCCCAGCCUGAACAUGCCCUCUGGGUCAAGCCACGCAGUUCAGCUCUUCUCUCAACCUUUUUUCCCAGCCCAGCAGUCUCCCUGGCUCUGGUUUUCCCAGGCCUCAUCAGGUACAUUGUGGCACCAAUAACUCCCAUGUUUGUCUGCAAUUGCUCCAGGCAGAUGUCUGAAAAUCACCCACUGACAGAUUUAUGUUCGUCAACCUCUGAGACUCCCUCCAUCCCCACCCACAAACAGUAUCAGAGCUGUGGAUGAAAGCCCUUGGAGGCAAGAGCACCGAGUCCUCUCAAGCACACACAGAGCUGAGACACAGCAUUGCAAUGGCAUCCUGCCUGCCCGCCUGCCCUCCACCACAUUCCCCUAUAAACCCCCAGACUCCUCGGCAACGCACGUUUUCCUGGCCUGCUUUCUUCCCAAGAUCUGGAAAGACUUGGGUCUCCAGGCUUUUGAAACAAGAUUAAAAGGUCUCUUUUAUAGCAACUUGCGGAAAAAACUCCUCAGAGGAAACGUGGUUGGCAGGUAGAAAAACCGGGACCUGUCUCCCUGAAAAUCACAGCUGUGUUAUCUUUUUUCUCCACUGAUCACUUCCAGAUUAUCAUUCAGGGCAGACAGCCAAUUAGCUAGCCCUCCCUGUCACAGAGCCUGUCUCUGGCAGCUCUCAUUUCUCCACAGAAGGGAGCACUCUGAAGAAGUGUAGCUGGGCCAUGUGCAGAACCCGGGGAGGGAAAACCUGUGAGUGAGCGUGCCCUCGCCACAACAAGUCCGCACAGGAAGGUGAACCAAGAGCCAGCACAGGCAGGAAGUUUGCCGAAGCCUCAGGACCAGGCCAAACACAAAGGCUUCCUUUCUAAGAGGAAAGAGGAUUGAGCUGUGAGGAAAAACAGAAUAAAAGCACUGUCCUGAGUGAAACUCGCAGUGAUAGAACCUGGUGUUGAAGAGCAGAACCCUUGAUUCGGGGUCUCACCUGCUUUUGGCAAGCGAGUUCUCUGCAGAAAAGCGGGAAGCACCUUUCUCAGGCUUCUUGGCACCUGGCCAUCACUCAGAUCUGCCCCAGGGGAGUGUGAACUACAGGCAGCCACCUCUGCUUUGGGCAGCUGGGCCAAACCCUCGCCUUACAAUGACUUCUUUGGAAAGAUGGGUCAGAACAAGAUGUUGGCACGUCCAAAGUCUGUUCAAUGAAGUUCACUAACCUGGCAGCAUAGUAGGGACAGAGGUGUAUAGGGAAAAGAUUUGUGCAGCAUUCCCUGUUUUUGGUGACAGUGCAAACAAGUUGUGUCCCCAGGAAGCCAUUGUUUUGGCAGGAAAUUGAAAUGUACACACAACCAAUUAUAUGGCCCAUACCUACUAUGGGCUGGGACCCAUAAGCACCAAGGACAAAGUCUGUCUUACUGAAUUAAAGGGUUUCAAUCAGCAGCUCCCUAACUCUGUCCUGAGGGUACCAGUGUCCCCCCAGGGUGUUAGUAGUCUUGUCAGUACAUUCCUGUCACUGGAAUAAGCUUAGGAACUACUUCCUUAAACAACGUUGGACAGGUUUCUUCACUAUGGGGCUCUUCACUGACCUUAAUAUGCUAAUGUGCCUAUUAGCAGCAUUUGCCAAGUGUGUUGACCGCAGAGCCCUGUGUUCACAGCUACUUCUUAAGAACUAAUUGGACAUCUAUGUUCCAGGGCACACAGUUGGGAAGAACUGCUACAGGCCCUCAGUAAAAAGAUGAUGGAGACCUGGGACAA
Myotis davidii is the source of this 1970-nucleotide long non-coding RNA. RefSeq lists it as uncharacterized. The transcript is spliced from 3 exons. The record is from RefSeq and is a predicted model, not a curated record. NCBI's taxonomy places the organism in Eukaryota, Metazoa, Chordata, Mammalia, Chiroptera, Vespertilionidae.